AUGAGGUUGACGCUAUAUCCAGUGCUUGAUUCGAUGCUCAUACUGGGGCUGACGAGAAUUCAGCGUAUUCUGAUGGAGCUACUCAAUCAGCUAUUAAUGCUGGAAAGAGUGGCAGAGGGCGCAUUGAGGAGUGGUAGCCUAAUUAGAGGUUUCCAACUCAAGGUACCAUUGGUCGAACACAAGAUGUCUUUGUGGAUCAAGGAGCACCUUGAGACUUCAUCUACGCUGAAGAAGCUACUUUUGAUGCUUGUUCUCUUUGGUACUUCUAUGGUCAUAGCGGAUGGUGUUGUCUGUUGUCACACCAGCAAUAUCAGGAAUGCAAAGGCUAGUCUGCUCCCUAACUAA
Molecule: ribosomal RNA, 345 nt
Filed under: Triticum aestivum (bread wheat)
Lineage: Eukaryota; Viridiplantae; Streptophyta; Magnoliopsida; Poales; Poaceae
Description: partial small subunit ribosomal RNA
Source: RNAcentral